UCCGGUUUGUCACCGGCGGUCUCCUUAGAGUGCCCAACUUAAUGCUGGCAGCUAAGGACAAGGGUUGCGCUCGUUGCGGGACUUAACCCAACAUCUCACGACACGAGCUGACGACAGCCAUGCAGCACCUGUCUCCAGGUUCCUUACGGCACCCCCAAAUCUCUUCGGGGUUCCUAGCAUGUCAAGGGUAGGUAAGGUUUUUCGCGUUGCAUCGAAUUAAUCCACAUAAUCCACCGCUUGUGCGGGUCCCCGUCAAUUCCUUUGAGUUUUAGCCUUGCGGCCGUACUCCCCAGGCGGGGUGCUUAAUGCGUUAGCUUCGGCACGGGGGGAGUCGACACCCCCCACACCUAGCACCCAUCGUUUACGGCGUGGACUAC
This 377-nucleotide unclassified non-coding RNA is filed under the name uncultured bacterium. RNAcentral's name for it is "contains 16S-23S intergenic spacer region". The record is from RNAcentral.